AGGUCAGACAAUGCCAGCCUCACGAAGAGAUCCUGCCCACCGUCGACGAACCGCGUGUCCAUCAGGUCGACGAACCACUGUAUGCACCCGGUGCCGGCCCCGCCUCCACGGAUGUCCGACGCGGCGUACGCCGUGCAAUUGCAGUUGGACAGGCACCUCCGGCCGCACUCCUCGAGCGAGGCACCGGCGUCCACGCUGCUGCCGUGCGUCUCCGGCAGCUUCACGCCGCGCAGAGCGUAGAACCCGUCGCUGUCGUCGCCGCACCGUAGCGGCGUUCUUCGGGCGCACCCGCCGGACGCGUCCCGCAUGCGCCACUCCGCCGGCGCCCUCUGCUGGAACCCGUGGACACAGCUGCACACGAUGGCGUCCACCACGUUGCACACGCCGAACGCGCCGCACAGGCCGUAGCUGUCGCACUGGUCCCUCGGCCCCGACCAGAAGGUGUUCCAGGCGCCCGUGGCGCGGUCCCAGACCAUGCGCUGCAUCACGCCGGACUCGUUCAGGACCACGCGGGACGGCGGCGAGCCGACGCGGUCGCGGUACCCGUAGGAGACCUCGUCGGCGGUGUCGGUGAACCGGAACUCGAACAUGUCCUCGAAGGUGGUCAUCUCCGGUAUGCCGCUGAACCGCACGCCGUUCCAGGGCCCCGUCCGGUACGUCUUGCGCCCCUCCCUCCAGAUGUGCAGCUCCGGGGAGCCGCUCGUGUCCAUGUCGUAGCGGAAGUCGCCGGCGGACGGGUCGUCGGCGUCGCGCCACGACGAGAGGGACCACACGGCGCCGGUCCUGAGGUCCCUCCCGGUCCGCAUCUCGGAGAUGAACGUGUUGGUGGGGUGCUCGAAGCUCUGCCACACCACGGCGCCGGCCUCGCUCGUGAGCACCAGGUUGCCGUUGUCGUGGAGCUGCGCGACCGCAGCAGGCGCCGCGGCCGACGAGUUGGACGACCAGACGGUCACGUUAUCCCUCGCGGUGUAGAGGAGCACGAGGUCUCCUCCGCCGCUGAGCGUGACCAUGCCGGAGGACAGGGCGUCGAGCGGGCGGUCGCGGUUCGCGACCCAGACGACGGCGGGCGGGGAGACGGUGAACCAUAUGCCGAGGAACCACUUGGUGCCGUUGGCGACGGGGAAGAGGCCGAGCUGGAAGACGCCGCCGGGCGAGACCAGCCUCCGUUCGCCGCCGAUGGCCCCCUGCCGUGUCAACGUCGACGAGCUGUCGGCGACGACGGCGGAGGCUGUCAGAAGCAGCACGGACAGCAAUGGGAGGAAGAGUCGGCGGUGGCUCUGGUUCAUGAUGAUCUUGCGCCGGCUGAAUAUGGAAGGAAGCACGGGGAAUGUUACCGUGGAGUCGGUGGAUUUUUUCCCAAGUUCUAAAUACCGAUGGCUGGCAGAAGUACCGCAUUCAUGUCACGGAAUGUUGUGGCGGACCGGUGGUAAACGAGUAAAUUGCAAGGAACCAUCAUUUUAAAGGCUAGUGAGUUUAUGACAGGUGAGUCCCGCUAGUCAAGCUAAGUGGCACCAAUCUCUCACACCGCGACAUCAAAUCGUCUUGAUGGAUGUGGGACCUGCUUGUCAGUGAGACACUCCCCUUCUCUCAAACCACCCACUCUCCGUCGUUUUACCGAGCAGAUGCAUGGAUGCGCCGCCGAAGUUCGGGGUGCGGUCUCCGGUGGAGGCGUUCUCCGUUGACGCUGGAGCGGCCCGUGACGACGUCCGGGAGGGGCGCGGGUGGCAGGGGUGUGCUGUCAGACUUCGUCGAAGCAGGGCGGGGGCGGGGGUGAUGUCAUCUUCUUGCGGACGCUCGAGGUGCGGUCAUGCACCCCGGCCGCCCACCGGCGCUCGAGGUGCAGUCCCACCAGCCGUGGAAGACACUCCUUCCUGCGGACGCUCGCGUGCGAGCCGCAACUUCGCCAGCUGUGGGCAGGGGCCGAGUACGGGGUUUGGGUGUGGAAUCGGCGGGGAUGCCCCGAUCCCAACUGGAUCUGGAUGGAUUGGACAUCGGGGAGGUGAUUCCCGGUGUUGAGAAGGUGCGGCGGCGGGCGAUUGGGGAGCUCCAGCAAGGAGGAAGGCCGCUCCUCGGCCAGGGGCGGGGUCGGGACGGGCAGCGCUCUCUGCCUCGCCCUUGGUGCAGCAACGACGACGGCGGCCGGGCCUCUGCGUCGGCCUGGGUCGGGACUGGCGACGGCCUCCUGCAUCGACCUAGGCGCGACAACAGUGGCCUCUACGUCGACAUGGGCGUGGCAACGACGACGGCGACCCUUGCCUCCGGCAGGGACGGGGCGGGCAGCGGUUGGACCAGAUUUUCGGCUGGGUGGAGAAGAUAGGAUUAAGCAUAUUUUGUUUCUUUUUUCUUUUCCAAUGAUAGGUGGACCCCAUAAGACAACACAUGAUGAUAACGUUACCACACGUCUUCGUUACAUGUGAGAUGUUAAGUGGUGCCACGCCAGUCUGACUGGCGGGCCCCAUCUGUCAUAAUCUCACUUGACAGUGUCAGAUUCGCCGAUCAGUGAUUUUUACAAAAUGAUUACA
Triticum aestivum (bread wheat) is the source of this 2522-nucleotide long non-coding RNA. RefSeq lists it as uncharacterized. The record is from RefSeq and is a predicted model, not a curated record. NCBI's taxonomy places the organism in Eukaryota, Viridiplantae, Streptophyta, Magnoliopsida, Poales, Poaceae. The transcript is spliced from 2 exons.